This 624-nucleotide ribosomal RNA is filed under the name Meyerozyma guilliermondii. RNAcentral describes it as "eukaryotic LSU rRNA". The stretch from base 214 to 367 matches the Rfam family "5.8S ribosomal RNA". The record is from RNAcentral. Lineage: Eukaryota; Fungi; Ascomycota; Pichiomycetes; Serinales; Debaryomycetaceae.
AGCGUAACAAGGUUUCCGUAGGUGAACCUGCGGAAGGAUCAUUACAGUAUUCUUUUGCCAGCGCUUAACUGCGCGGCGAAAAACCUUACACACAGUGUCUUUUUGAUACAGAACUCUUGCUUUGGUUUGGCCUAGAGAUAGGUUGGGCCAGAGGUUUAACAAAACACAAUUUAAUUAUUUUUACAGUUAGUCAAAUUUUGAAUUAAUCUUCAAAACUUUCAACAACGGAUCUCUUGGUUCUCGCAUCGAUGAAGAACGCAGCGAAAUGCGAUAAGUAAUAUGAAUUGCAGAUUUUCGUGAAUCAUCGAAUCUUUGAACGCACAUUGCGCCCUCUGGUAUUCCAGAGGGCAUGCCUGUUUGAGCGUCAUUUCUCUCUCAAACCCCCGGGUUUGGUAUUGAGUGAUACUCUUAGUCGGACUAGGCGUUUGCUUGAAAAGUAUUGGCAUGGGUAGUACUGGAUAGUGCUGUCGACCUCUCAAUGUAUUAGGUUUAUCCAACUCGUUGAAUGGUGUGGCGGGAUAUUUCUGGUAUUGUUGGCCCGGCCUUACAACAACCAAACAAGUUUGACCUCAAAUCAGGUAGGAAUACCCGCUGAACUUAAGCAUAUCAAAAGCCCCGGAGGAA